Long non-coding RNA from Heterocephalus glaber (naked mole-rat), 866 nucleotides. The record is from Ensembl. Lineage: Eukaryota; Metazoa; Chordata; Mammalia; Rodentia; Bathyergidae.
UAUUACCAUCUUUACUUUUGGUUCCACUGUCUCAACCAAGCUGUGAGGGUAAAGGUUAAUAAAGACAGAAGAGCUGGACAUGGUCCAAAUAGACUGGGGACUGUGAAGCUCUCAGCUGCAGGUGCCUCAGCCAGAAGGAACUUUCUCAGCACCCUACAAGCAGUUCUGUGCUCGCCAGAAAACUAAAGCCCGUGGAAAUGACAAAGCACGAUCACCAACAAGACACUGCUGAACUUUAAGCAUCUCCUCCAUCCUCCCAAACCAAGAAUUCUCAUAGAAAACUGGGACAAGCUUGCAGACUGAAUUUUCUUCUCUCUUGCAAGAACCCUCAGGCAUGAAAAUACCUGGAGAGUGUACAUGAGGUUUAAGUGAGAAAAUGACAUCUGGCAUAAUGCCUGGAACAUAAGAGGUACUCAAUAAAGCCCUCACUGAUUGGCACAAUCUUGAAAAUAAGCCAGAUCAAAACAGCCCUGCUGUUUUAGAAGUCUGUGCCAGGAUUACCAUCUACAAAGAUCUUUGGAGACCAAUAAAUCUUUAAGUUCUUCUAUGGGCUAAUUAUUCCACCACCUACCUCGUUUCACCAGAAAGAAAGCCAAGAGUCAUCUGGGUCUUCUACUUCCCACCAUCACCAUGUCCUGAAUAGCCUACUUCCGUGACUCUGGUAUUGUCUCUCCAUCCAUUAUUCAAAAAAUUCAAACAGGUUUCUAACUGCCUCAAAGCUCAUAUCUCCUCUCAAGAAUUCACCCACCACCCUUUCCACCACCAAUUAAUAGUUAUAAGAUUUGAGACUGAGUCAUCAAUCCCAUUCCUAAACUCUACUUUUGUCCAUGAAUCACAAGUCAAGAUCACACGAUUUCUCCAGACCA